AGCCCAAAAAGUCUUCUUUAAUGGGCUUACAAUUGGAACGAAAGCCAUUCCCAUCCACGAAUGAACAACCGCCAUUGGUGUCUUUGCUGCGACUUCAAGUUCGAGCAGGUAGCCACAGACCAAUCUCUGCUCUUUAACCAAUUCUUUAUAUCAAUUGAAUUUUCGAAUUCAUCAAAAUAUAUCAUUUUUUGUGUCGUAAUAUUCUCUUUUUACUCGACGAAAGAGGCAAAAUCCUUUCAUGGAGUCCCGGUCUCGGUCUCAGUCUAACUCCUUCGAAGAUAUCUUGGAAUCCUCGCUAAAUCUAGAGGAUACCCAUUUCAAAGAAGGCUACGACGAAGGCUAUAGUCAUGGGUUAGUCUCAGGAAAGGAGGAGGCUCGACAAGUGGGCCUUAAGACGGGCUUCGAGGUCGGCGAGGAACUCGGCUUCUAUCGGGGCUGCGUCGACGUCUGGAACUCUGCCGUUCGAAUUGACCCGACUGGAUUCUCGGCCCGGGCUCAGAAGUCCAUCAAGCAAAUGGAAGAGUUGAUUGAGAAAUACCCGCUGUUGAAUCCGGAGGAUGAGAGUGUACAGGAGAUUAUGGACAGUUUGAGGUUGAAGUUUCGGGUUAUAAGAGCGGGUUUGGGUGUGAAAUUGGAUUACGAUGGGUACCCCAAACCUAAAGAGAUUGAGUUUUGAGGAGUUGGUUGAAGUUUGUCAGGUGUUAAUAACAGCCAAUAUGGUGUAAUUUUGGUGUUUAGGAAUUUUGGGUAUUUCGUGUAGAAAUUUCCGCUAAUGCUAACUAGUUCUCUUCUUUUUUUAAGUCUGCGGAAGCACUUGAGUUUUGAUUUCUCAGUUGUUUUUAGACCUUCUUUUGCUAGGAGUUUAACUUGUCGCCUGUAUGCUAAAGUUUCUUGAGUUCAAUUUCGGGUGAAUUGCAUGCAACAAAUGAUGGUAAUUUUAUUUUCAGUUUAAGAAGUGUUUCAGUUAUGGUUUUCUUGUGGAAAAUUCGGCAGAUAGAAAAAUACUAUAAAUCCUUAUAUGUACUGUAAGUGCUAAGAUAAGAUGGGGAAUGGUUUUAGAUGUUGAAACUAACUGGAAAGAUAUUCUUCUGCAUGGUAGCUAAUGACUUUGAAUGUGAAUUUUGGUUGGUUUUGGAGAUGGCGAAUGUACUGAAUAUGUUAUUACAUAACUGGUUGAGGACCAUGAAAUUCACAUGCACACCUGGUUGCAGAGCAUGUUUGUGAAAUAAAAAGACAUCUUGAUGUUGGAUCCUUUAUUAUUCUGAGCCUAGGAUGUCAGUUGGUUACAAGCUGAUUGCAACUUUUUGGCUGGUUGAGCUGAGGCUGAAAUGAGAAUGAGUAAUCCUAGAAUUUCAGAUGUGGAGAGUCAUGAUGAUUGCAGUUCAUUUGUAGACAAAAAUGAUUUAUAGCUAUUGAAACUUGCAAUAUAUACGUCUACAUCCAAACCUAAUUUUAUUGUCAAGUUUCCAAUUGAUUGUUUUGUUCUCUAUUUUCAUUUCUCCCAUGUUUAAAUUUUUUUUCAUCUCUGUCGCUGUAUUUCUAGUUACAUAUGAAUAUUUCUACUAAAGGCUGCUUGAAAAUUUCACUUCUGCAAUUUGAUUAACUGUGAUCCCCUGGAAUCAUUAUAAUUUUUAUCUUAGUUAUCUACUUGUGCAACUUGUAAAAGGGGUCAAGGAGGAAAAACAUGUUGAAGUGGACACUUGCUUGCUGCAAGGUUUACAUAUCUGAAAGCCGAAAUAAGGCUGCAUUGGAGUCGAUUGAACAUGCUGCAAAGCUAUUCCCUCAAGCACCUAUUGUUAACAAGUUUGAGGAUGCAACCUACAAUAGAGUUGGAUAUACUCUUGUCUCAAGUUUGACUCCAAAACCAUCUGUAGAUUCAUGUCCAUUGAAGACUGCUGUGCUUGCCAUGGUUAAAGCUGCUUUCGAAGCUAUUGACCUUGAGUCACAUUGUGGAAGUCACCCCCGGCUAGGUGUUGUUGACCACAUUUGCUUUCAUCCUUUAGCACAUGCAUCUUCAGACCAAGCAGCAGGGAUUGCAAAGUCCUUGGCAGCAGAUGUUGGCUCUAGCCUUCAAGGUUUGAGCUCUUUGAAAUGAUUUUAGUUUACCAGUUACCUAGUAGACUAGAGAGAAAAAAAGCUUUGUAAAAUGAUAUGGACUGAUCACAAGCUAGAUGACAAGUCUAGAAUCUGGUCAUCCAAGAGUCUGAUUCCUCUAGUCUGGUUUCCCUUCUGUGAUUAUAACUUUCAGAUGCAAAAGUAGCAGUUGAUUAUGUAUCUCUCCAUCUUUUGGUUUGUCUUAUUUGGCUUCUCUUGUUGAAUUUUAUAAUUAUACUAGUUAAAGUAAUGGUCAUUUAAACCAAAAGUACGUUGAAUCCAUUUUUUGGGUCUGAUAAUACCAUGUAGCACUGUCAUUCAGAUGUCAUUAACUGAGAGCAGAAACUGAGUUUCAUAAUGAAUCUAUUUGAAGUUCUUAAUUUCAUACUAUAGCAACUUAACUUAGCAAUAAAAUCCUUUCAAAUGGAGUUGAUACUUUUGGUUCAUUUGUCUAGUCAUUCUUGUCUAGAAGCAGUUCAUGUGGACUAAUAAACAUAGGGAUGAAUUUUACAUACAAAAUUGAUAGGUCCCGCAUGAAUCUAUCUCUUGAUAUGCCUUUGGGUCUAUGAAGACUGGACUUAAGCAAGAAUUUCCCUCAUUUUUCUUACCUUGUUCUUUUGUUGUUCCAUGUCUAUACCUUGAAUAAAAAAAUUUUCUGUUAGGCAUUUCAAAUGGAUUGAAUUUUGCAUUGGAUUUUAAGUGGUUCAGUGGUAUACUUUGAAUUGCAGCCCUGUUUCUUUGGUCCCAAGUGUAGGAGAUAUCAGUAGACUGAAUUUUUACUUGAUAUGGUGGUUAAGAUAGCACUCAUUUUUGUGCUACCAAUUUUGUGUAAUUAAGAUAGUAUUUCAUGAGUUUCUACAUCCCUACUGGAUCAGCGUAUGAGAUAUACUUUAUUUCUGCAUUGCUAAUGAUCUUAAGUAUAGCUUGCAGUCCCUACCUUCCUAUAUGGAGCUGCCAGUGAACAGGGAAGGACACUGGAUUCAAUCAGAAGAGAACUGGGUUAUUUCAAGCCAAAUUCUGGAAACCAAUGGAUAGGGGGACCAAAAUCAGAGUCCUUGCAGAUGAAACCAGAUGAAGGUCCAGCUCAAGUGACUCGAGCAAAAGGCAUAGUUGUAAUUGGAGCAAGCCAAUGGGUUGACAACUACAAUGUCCCUGUCUUCUCUACUGAUAUUGCUGCUGUUCGCAGAAUUGCAAAACAAGUCAGUGGGAGGGGAGGUGGUCUUAGUUCAGUACAAACCAUGGCUCUUGCGCAUGGUGAUGAUGUAAUUGAGGUUGCUUGUAACUUGUUGGAACCGAGUAAAGUGGGAGGAGAAAGGGUUCAGCAAGAAGUUGAGAGGCUUGCGGAGGAAGAGGGUAUGACUGUGGGGAAAGGAUAUUUUACUGAUUUCUCUGAGGAAAAUAUAAUUGAAAGUUACUUGAAGUUGAAUUCCGAAUUGUAACCACAAGAUUAAAUAUUGUAUGAGUGAAGAUAUUGUUCUUUCGAUGGAAAUUAAUUCAAGAAAUAUUAUAAUAAAAGGUAUUGUACCAAUGAGUGUGAUUUGAGUGAUUGUCUAUACACGAUUCCAUUCUUUAAUCGAGGGUCUUUUAUCAGAUAAAUGAGGUUCAUUCGCAUACUCGGUAAGUAGUUACAUAUGCUCUAUAUUAAGAUUAGGUGCCAUCCGAAAGUCAUAUUUGAACUUUUAUUGAUGCUUGUAUUCAUGAUCGAAAAUAUAGAUGAAUUCCAAAACUCUCUCUCUCACCAUUAGGUUUAGAAAGCAUGGUUUAACUACAAGGGAAACCUGAAACUAUGAGCCUAGAUUUUGCAGAUUUGCUCUCUGAACUUGGCAGACAAUUGAGAGAUAGCAUCAAGAGACGUAAUUUAAAGCCUGCAAUCAUCAGAAAUGGAGACCAAGGUACAGCGCCUGCCAAUGUCAUCUGUUAAAGUAUAGCUUGCAUGCCUAGAUUACAUGACAUGUUCAGUUCAUUUCCAGCUUGUUCUGUUGAGAUGAAGAGGUGGAUUCAUAAUAGAACUAAUAAUAAAGUUGUAAGAAGAUAAGGUUUGGCUUGUAGUGAUUUCUCAUAUUUUUUCAGUCGAUCAUUCUCUGUAAGUCUCUUUCAUAUCAGCAUCAAUGUUGACACAGCAAAUUCACAUUAUAUGUACAAUUCUUGUGAUUUGUUGGUUGAAGACAAUUGGAGAGUUCCAAAAUAUGCAAAGAGACCCAUGAUAAUUAGCCUUGUAAAGGGUCCACAAUAUAUAUAUAUAUAUAACGAAUGGAAAUAGAUAUCAAACGAGCAUAUUAAAUAAAGGGAUGGAGUUAAACA
RNAcentral lists this unclassified non-coding RNA (4395 nucleotides) under Hevea brasiliensis (rubber tree). The record is from RNAcentral. Lineage: Eukaryota; Viridiplantae; Streptophyta; Magnoliopsida; Malpighiales; Euphorbiaceae.